UGGGGAAUAUUGGACAAUGGGGGAAACCCUGAUCCAGCAAUGCCGCGUGAGUGAAGAAGGCCUUAGGGUUGUAAAGCUCUUUCGCCCGCGAAGAUAAUGACGGUAGCGGGAGAAGAAGCCCCGGCUAACUCCGUGCCAGCAGCCGCGGUAAUACGGGGGGGGCUAGCGUUGUUCGGAAUUACUGGGCGUAAAGCGUACGUAGGCGGAUGCGCAAGUUGGGGGUGAAAUCCCGGGGCUUAACCUCGGAAUUGCCCUCAAAACUGCACGUCUUGAGACCGAGAGAGGUAAGGGGAAUUCCUAGUGUAGAGGUGAAAUUCGUAGAUAUUAGGAAGAACACCAGUGGCGAAGGCGCCUUACUGGCUCGGUACUGACGCUGAGGUACGAAAGCGUGGGGAGCAAACA
This 402-nucleotide ribosomal RNA is filed under the name uncultured bacterium. RNAcentral describes it as "bacterial SSU rRNA". It matches the Rfam family "Bacterial small subunit ribosomal RNA", at positions 355 to 774 of the family's 1533-position model. The record is from RNAcentral.